Molecule: ribosomal RNA, 169 nt
Filed under: uncultured bacterium
Lineage: Bacteria
Description: partial 16S ribosomal RNA
Rfam family: Bacterial small subunit ribosomal RNA
Source: RNAcentral
GCUAGUAAUCGCGAAUCAGCAUGUCGCGGUGAAUACGUUCCCGGGCCUUGUACACACCGCCCGUCACACCAUGAGAGUUGGCAAUACCCAACGUACGUGAUCUAACCCGCAAGGGAGGAAGCGUCCUAAGGUAGGGUCAGCGAUUGGGGUGAAGUCGUAACAAGGUAUC